This 253-nucleotide ribosomal RNA is filed under the name uncultured bacterium. Its description in RNAcentral is "partial 16S ribosomal RNA". It matches the Rfam family "Bacterial small subunit ribosomal RNA", at positions 524 to 776 of the family's 1533-position model. The record is from RNAcentral.
UACGUAGGGGCCUAGCGUUGUCCGGAAUUAUUGGGCGUAAAGAGCUCGUAGGCGGUUUGUCGCGUCUGCUGUGAAAUCGCCCGGCUCAACUGGGCGGGGUCAGCGGAUACGGUCGAGCUUGAGCAAGCUAGGGGGUAAUGGAAUUCCCGGUGUAGUGGUGGAAUGCGUAGAUAUCGGGAGGAACACCAGUGGCGAAGGCGGUUACCUGGGGCUUUGCUGACGCUGAUGCGCGAAAGCGUGGGGAGCGAUCCGG